Long non-coding RNA from Rhipicephalus microplus (southern cattle tick), 412 nucleotides. The record is from RefSeq and is a predicted model, not a curated record. NCBI's taxonomy places the organism in Eukaryota, Metazoa, Arthropoda, Arachnida, Ixodida, Ixodidae.
AGCCAUCCUACCGAGAAUGAAGACAUGAACGUCGACUUGAGAACAACAAACAUGCCCGACAUGAUCACUUCCAAGGAAGUGGUCGUGUCUAAAGCUGGCCCUGACGGCAGGUCGACUAUGUACCGGUCUAAACUACGUGCCUCUUCGCCGUCCUAACCAGGGGCCGUCCCCGCUGUCGUGUGAAGAGACUUCUCACAUGUGAGCGGGUCUCGCUUAUAGACCUCCGUCAAUGUUCUUCAAAGGCCCGCCAUCAUCGUCUCCAUCGGUCGUUGAAAAAUGCUCAACCAAUUGCGUCGUGCCUUACACCCUCCCUCUCAUUCUCGCCGACCACGUUGAGGACCCCCCUCGGCGGCAGCCACUCUCCCAAUUGCCGUGCUCUCGGUGGUGUAAAUAAAGUGAAUCAGUGAAGACA